GAUCAUGGCUCAGGAUGAACGCUAGCGACAGGCUUAACACAUGCAAGUCGAGGGGCAGCACGGGAGUAGCAAUACAACUGGUGGCGACCGGCGCACGGGUGAGUAACGCGUAUGCAACCUACCUAUCAGAGGGGAAUAACCCGGCGAAAGUCGGACUAAUACCGCAUAAAACAGGGGCACCGCAUGGUGAUAUUUGUUAAGAAAUUCGCUGAUAGAUGGGCAUGCGUUCCAUUAGGUAGUUGGUGAGGUAACGGCUCACCAAGCCGACGAUGGAUAGGGGAACUGAGAGGUUGGUCCCCCACACUGGUACUGAGACACGGACCAGACUCCUACGGGAGGCAGCAGUGAGGAAUAUUGGUCAAUGGGCGAGAGCCUGAACCAGCCAAGUCCGCGUGAAGGAAGAAGGAUCUAUGGUUCGUAAACUUCUUUUGCAGGGGAAUAAAGUGCGGGACGUGUCCUGUUUUGUAUGUACCCUGAGAAUAAGGAUCGGCUAACUCCGUGCCAGCCGCGGC
This 512-nucleotide ribosomal RNA is filed under the name uncultured bacterium. RNAcentral's name for it is "bacterial SSU rRNA". It matches the Rfam family "Bacterial small subunit ribosomal RNA", at positions 15 to 518 of the family's 1533-position model. The record is from RNAcentral.